GAUGAAGAACGCAGCGAAAUGCGAUAAGUAAUGUGAAUUGCAGAAUUCAGUGAAUCAUCGAAUCUUUGAACGCACAUUGCGCCCGCCAGUAUUCUGGCGGGCAUGCCUGUCUGAGCGUCAUUUCAACCCUCAUGCCCCUAGGGCGUGGUGUUGGGGAUCGGCCAAAGCCCGCGAGGGACGGCCGGCCCCUAAAUCUAGUGGCGGACCCGUCGUGGCCUCCUCUGCGAAGUAGUGAUAUUCCGCAUCGGAGAGCGAUGAGCCCCUGCCGUUAAACCCCCAACUUUCCAAGGUUGACCUCAGAUCAGGUAGGAAUACCCGCUGAACUUAAGCAUAUCAAUAGCGGAGA
This 346-nucleotide unclassified non-coding RNA is filed under the name soil metagenome. RNAcentral describes it as "partial contains 5.8S ribosomal RNA, internal transcribed spacer 2, and large subunit ribosomal RNA". The stretch from base 1 to 120 matches the Rfam family "5.8S ribosomal RNA", at positions 35 to 154 of the family's 154-position model. The record is from RNAcentral.